RNAcentral lists this small RNA (317 nucleotides) under Vigna angularis var. angularis. RNAcentral's name for it is "Non-protein coding transcript". The record is from RNAcentral. Lineage: Eukaryota; Viridiplantae; Streptophyta; Magnoliopsida; Fabales; Fabaceae.
GUUUUCUUUAUCUUUUGGAUUUUUUUAAAAUAGAAUAAGAAUGAACAUAAAAAUUGGAAAAACUGGGGAUCGAAGCUAAGACAAGCUAUAAAUGUUGGCAGCCUACUAAAGAGCAAGUUGAUAUAUUAAUGACUAUCUUCAACCAUGGGAUAGUAAAUCACAGUCGAAAGCAGGUACGUGAAAUUGUAACACGGUUUAUGGAUAUCGAGUAAAACAACGACGCUUGCGGCAGGAUGUCACUGGUGCAUCUACCCAUUCCUAUUGCUUCCUACCGUCUUUUAUGCAUGAUCUUACAUGGGUAACUCCAUCGAUUCCAA